UCCAUUUUAUUCUUUGAAGGCUAACAAGAAAGAAUUGCGAGUAGAAAAGUUAAAGGACAAAGAGGAAGUAGAGGACUUAACUCAGGAAAUGGCUGAGCUACGGUAUCGAACUCACAUCCCUAGACCUCAAGCUUCAUCUCUCCAACUCAAUUGGCAGGAAUGGACCUUUGGUGGAUGGAUGGAAGUGGUCAAGGCCUAAUGGAGGGCAUGCAGGACUAACAUCAGCACUGAAGACAUAAAAGAUUUAAACAAAACAAGAAAGGGAUUUCGAUGCUGAGCAAUCUGCAAGGGUGAUUGAUGCAUACUGUAUGCUUAGCAAGCCUUUGACUACUGAUUAUAUUGUUGUUAUCUUCUUUUGUGGAAUUAUUUGCUGAAGAUUGGUAAUGAAUUGUUUGAUUACACUUAAUGAUGACCAGUUAAUUUUUUUUGUUUUAUUGAGUAAUAAUUUUUUCUUUUUUUUUUAACUGUAAUAAAUGUUUGAUAUCUAUAUUUUAAAGCAAAUGUCACUGCCCCUUAUAUUUUACCCAAUGUUUUGCAGAUUUUUCAUGUUUGGUAGACAGAGUAAUAGAAAAGAAUUGGGUUGCUUUGGUUUCAUCCGGUGAUAAAUUAGAUCUUCUUGCGGAGGGAGAAAACAUUCAGUCAAGGCAGAAGAAGAAGGGGCAGUAGUUAGAAUUUGGCCGGUCUUCUUGCGGAAGGGAAACGGAUCGGCCAAGGCGGAAGAAGAAGGGGAGGUAGUUGGAAGUUGGCUGGUGACUCUUCAAAGAUACAUUCCAAUCAAAGAGAUUCCAAUUUAAUAUGAUGGUCUCAAGAGGGAAGAUGACACCGUUCUCUUUUGAAGAUGAUGCUGUUUCAGAAUCCACACUCCCUAUGCAUCAACUCCAACUUUUGAGAUUUCUACAUUGGAGGUACCUACUACUACUAUUACACUUACUAAAUUGAGACAUUGGAAAAUUAAUCUAUUACAUGAAAUUUUUUAAUUAGUUUCCAGUGGUUUUGAAGGUGUGUUUUAUGCAAAAAGAAUUUAAAAUGACUUAUAAGAACUCCUUCAAUUGUUGUGCAUUUAUUUGACUUUUGAGUUCUUUUAAUAGUCUAAGUUGUCAAAGAAAAUUGUUCUAUAAUAGCGUUUUUCUUAUAGUGACUACUAAUUUUAUUAUUGUUGUCAUUUUUUUUUGUCGGAUUGUUUCCUUCAAAGUCAAAGCUCCAUGCCUCCUUGCAUUCUUUCUUUUUUCAGGGGAUGACGAUAAGAUUAAGCCUACAUAUAAAGAUGUAAAUGUAGUUGUGUUUAUAGAGUUUGUUUAAGGAUUCGAUGGACAAAUUUGAAAAUAUUAAAACUCAAAGCUCAUUUAAAAGGGCUGUUUUCUUGCUAUGUUUUCGAAUCAAAUAUAUCAUUGAUUUUUUC
Non-coding RNA from Arachis ipaensis, 1399 nucleotides. Lineage: Eukaryota; Viridiplantae; Streptophyta; Magnoliopsida; Fabales; Fabaceae. The record is from RefSeq and is a predicted model, not a curated record.